UUAAAAAUCUGGUCCUCUAGUCAUCCACAAAACAUAUACACCACAGACAGGCAAUGCAAGCUUCCCCACAUUGCUCCAUUGAUGGCUCUCAACCUUGGAGAAGGUAAUUAGAUCCAUUUAAAAAUGUGGCCAAU
Molecule: small RNA, 134 nt
Filed under: Crocodylus porosus (Australian saltwater crocodile)
Lineage: Eukaryota; Metazoa; Chordata; Crocodylia; Crocodylidae
Description: TUC338 (ENSCPRG00005012764.1)
Source: RNAcentral